Molecule: ribosomal RNA, 348 nt
Filed under: uncultured archaeon
Lineage: Archaea
Description: bacterial SSU rRNA
Rfam family: Archaeal small subunit ribosomal RNA
Source: RNAcentral
ACCCCGGGAAACUGGGGAUAAUUCCCAAUAGGCGAAGAACUCUGGAAUGAGUCUUCACCAGAAAAGACGUUUACGUUAUGCUCGUAAGCGUCGCCCAAGGAUGAGGCCGCGACCGAUCAGGUUGUUGGUGAGGUAAUGGCUCACCAAGCCUUUUACCGGUGCGGGCCGUGAGAGCGGGAGCCCGGAGAUGGGCACUGAGACAAGGGCCCAGGCCCUACGGGGCGCAGCAGUCGCGAAAACUUUGCAAUACACGAAAGUGUGACAGGGCUAUCCCGAGUGCCAUCCGCUGAGGAAGGCUUUUACCCAGUCUAGAACGCUGGGGGAAUAAGGAGAGGGCAAGUCUGGUGU